GUUAGGAAUAUUGGACAAUGGACGCAAGUCUGAUCCAGCCAUGCCGCGUGAGUGAUGAAGGCCUUCGGGUUGUAAAGCUCUUUAGCCGAUGAUUAUAAUGACUGUAGUCGGAAAAUAAGCCCCGGCUAACUUCGUGCCAGCAGCCGCGGUAAUACGAAGGGGGCGAGCGUUAUUCGGAAUCACUGGGCGUAAAGCGUGCGUAGGCGGGUUUGUAAGUUGGGAGUGAAAGCCCAGGGCUCAACCCUGGAAUUGCUCUCAAAACUACAAGACUUGAAUUCGAGAGAGGAUAGCGGAAUUGUCAGUGAAGCAGUGAAAUGCGUAGAUAUUGAAAGGAACACCAGUGGCGUAAGCGGCUAUCUGGACCGACAUUGACGCUGAGGCACGAAAGCGUGGGGAUCAAACAGGAUUAGAUACCCCAGUAGUCC
RNAcentral lists this ribosomal RNA (425 nucleotides) under uncultured bacterium. RNAcentral describes it as "partial 16S ribosomal RNA". It matches the Rfam family "Bacterial small subunit ribosomal RNA", at positions 354 to 796 of the family's 1533-position model. The record is from RNAcentral.